GGGCGACGGUUGUSMCGGUUUAAGCAUGUAGGCGGAGGUUCCAGGUAAAUCCGGUACCUUUUAACGCUGAGAUGUGAUGACGAGGCACUACGGUGCUGAAGUAACAAAUGCCCUGCUUCCAGGAAAAGCCUCUAAGCAUCAGGUAACAUCAAAUCGUACCCCAAACCGACACAGGUGGUCAGGUAGAGAAUACCAAGGCGCUUGAGAGAACUCGGGUGAAGGAACUAGGCAAAAUGGUGCCGUAACUUCGGGAGAAGGCACGCUGGUGUGUAGGUGAAGUCCCUGCGGACGGAGCUGAGACCAGUCGAAGAUACCAGCUGGCUGCAACUGUUUAUUAAAAACACAGCACUGUGCAAACACGAAAGUGGACGUAUACGGUGUGACGCCUGCCCGGUGCCGGAAGGUUAAUUGAUGGKKUUAUCCGUAAGGAGAAGCUCUUGAUCGAAG
RNAcentral lists this ribosomal RNA (447 nucleotides) under Klebsiella pneumoniae subsp. pneumoniae. RNAcentral describes it as "bacterial LSU rRNA". It matches the Rfam family "Bacterial large subunit ribosomal RNA", at positions 1494 to 1917 of the family's 2925-position model. The record is from RNAcentral. Lineage: Bacteria; Pseudomonadati; Pseudomonadota; Gammaproteobacteria; Enterobacterales; Enterobacteriaceae.